RNAcentral lists this transfer RNA (77 nucleotides) under Salmonella enterica. RNAcentral describes it as "tRNA-Arg". It matches the Rfam family "tRNA". From Rfam's summary of the family: Transfer RNA (tRNA) molecules are approximately 80 nucleotides in length. Their secondary structure includes four short double-helical elements and three loops (D, anti-codon, and T loops). Further hydrogen bonds mediate the characteristic L-shaped molecular structure. tRNAs have two regions of fundamental functional importance: the anti-codon, which is responsible for specific mRNA codon recognition, and the 3' end, to which the tRNAs corresponding amino acid is attached (by aminoacyl-tRNA synthetases). tRNAs cope with the degeneracy of the genetic code in two manners: having more than one tRNA (with a specific anti-codon) for a particular amino acid; and 'wobble' base-pairing, i.e. permitting non-standard base-pairing at the 3rd anti-codon position. Lineage: Bacteria; Pseudomonadati; Pseudomonadota; Gammaproteobacteria; Enterobacterales; Enterobacteriaceae. The record is from RNAcentral.
GCAUCCGUAGCUCAGCUGGAUAGAGUACUCGGCUACGAACCGAGCGGUCGGAGGUUCGAAUCCUCCCGGAUGCACAA